CCUGGAAACUUAGACGGCAGGAGCCGUUAGAGGGCAGCAUGGGCCCAUGCAUAACUCAGCAGGCUCCUUUUUCACUCACAGGGCGUCUGGGAGCACAGGCACUAGCUGCCACAGAAAAACAAGUCAGAAAGGCAGAGGGGAGGGUGGGAGACAGAAACCUCCCUCCAAGCCCUGCUGUGCCAGUGAAACGCUGCUCUUGGGAAGGCCAGGCUGCGUGUCCCAGCACAUGCCAGGGGUAUGCACUGAAGAGACACAGGCUCCGGAGAGAAGCCACACCUCCUGCCCCCUUAGACAAGUGUGAUGGCUCCGUGGCCUCUGGGCAAGGAAGCCAGAGUGAGUGCCCAGAGCCCUGAACAGAGACGGGUGUGGGAGACGUCAGGCGGGCACUCUGCCCUUUGUGUCACUUCACUCUUCAGCCUCUGGAGCGAGAGGACAAAGGAGCACCUUGAUGCUGGCAGACACUGGGGGCACGGCUGGGUUUUACAAGGAAGGACGAAAUCUGAUUCCCCCAAUCAGAAUAGAUCAUCUUUGCCUGUCUAUGAGGUGACCCAGUUCUGAGCACAGUGCUUGGCUCUGAACAGAUGUGUAUCACACUCCCAGCUUGCAACCUGGGCCUUGCCAGAGAGGUAAGAACAUGGCAUCCUUCCACGGGACAAAUUCGAGAGCUGGCUCUUGGGCAUCCCUUGCAAGGGCAGCUCUGCAUCUCAAAGGACUCCUGGCAACAAGGACUGGCCUUUGUCCCGCCUCCCACAGCACACCUUUUCUGACUCACCCAGGCAGCUCACCCCAGGGGAGGGCUGAAAAGGAAAACCUGGAGCAGUGGAAUGGGCCACACCGCAGUCCAGCCCCCAAGAGGCAGGGAGCAAAGCGGACCCCUGCAAUCUUAUCCUUCAUGUUUUCCCACAAGCUCUCCGGGACAGCUCUGAUUCAUGAUGCCAUGGAGGUGGGAAGAUCCAGCCCCAACGUCCUGGGAAGAUUCAAGUGUGAAGCAGAAGGUAGCAAGUGACCAGACUCCCAGCAUGGAGCUACCACCUCAUGCACAGGCCCCAGUUCUUGCUCGCUUCUCCUGCCUGAGACCUGCCCUGGCCUCAGAACAGCAGCGAGGCCCUGCACUGCGUGGUGCUGUGGCUCGGUGUGCUGCUAUGCCUGAUGUUUCUUUAUGGAGCGAUUACUGUUCAUUGAGGAUCAUUUGCAUGUAUUCCCUUCUGAAACUCUACCGAUGAAAAGCCAGGCGCAGGGCCUGAGCAGGCUAAUUCCGCCCAGCAAAAGGACACAACUGCUCUGUUCCUUUGGAACUCCUCUUGUCAGGCCUGCUGCUACACCUUUCCUGUGCAGAGACCACAGACGUCCCUGCCCCUGUGGUCUGUAGCCACACAGAGGAGACCAUCCAACUCCCCUCCGGCCCUCCCACAUCUGCAUUAACUUUAUGCCAGUAAAUAUUCUCCUGA
Molecule: long non-coding RNA, 1448 nt
Organism: Myotis daubentonii (Daubenton's bat)
Lineage: Eukaryota; Metazoa; Chordata; Mammalia; Chiroptera; Vespertilionidae
Source: RefSeq, a predicted model, not a curated record